This 66-nucleotide long non-coding RNA is filed under the name Chinchilla lanigera (long-tailed chinchilla). RNAcentral describes it as "lncRNA (ENSCLAG00000023648.1)". Lineage: Eukaryota; Metazoa; Chordata; Mammalia; Rodentia; Chinchillidae. The record is from RNAcentral.
UUUCUCAGAGGUGCUGUGGGGCCCCUGAAGUGAGACACGUAAUCGCCCUGCCAUCGGGAAAGGGCU